AGCUCCACCCCCACUGGAGAAGCUUAGUCCUGAAGCAGUAGUUUCAGUCCUAUGGAAAGGGGAAGGAUCACUUGUUGAAGAGUUAGUCCGGUGCAUGGCUCCUCAUAUGGAAGAGGGCUUGCUAGAUGACUUAAAAGAGAAGAUUUGAGAGCAUGACCCUUCUGGAUCUGUAGAUCUCCAGAGAGAACUGCAGAAAUCUUUAUUAUGGUUGAAGGAUGAGGUUCGUACAUACAAGUGUCGGCAUGAUGCAGCUGCUGAUUUGAUCCACCUUUAUGCUUAUACAAAAUAUUAUUUUAGAGUUUGGGUUAGUUGAAAUUUCGUAGCAGUGUUCUCCUGUAUUUGAUUAAUAUGGAGGAACUUACAUUCUUAUAAUUACUUCUCGUAAGGAAGUUGGCAGCUAUCUUGGUUUUCCCGUUUACCGGGUGAUGUCUAUGAGGUUUCUAUCGUGCAAUGAUGCUUUGCAGCUUUCAACUGCUCAAGAAAGAAUGUGCAUAUAUGAUUUUGAAAAUCCAGAAGGCUGUUGCAAGGGGACCAUUGAAAGUAACAUAUGAAAAAUACUUGCAUCCUGAUCAAAGUAGUGUUGCAGCAAUAGAAGCAAAUGACAGGCUUCCUCCGUGACAUCAAGUCCUAUGGGAGCUCAGAUUAUGUCACAAUACGGUACAAUGAGGACAUGAAAUUCAGGAAGAUGGCAUUAGGCAGGCAGGAGUACACAAGACUUUCUUUCCCUCAUAAGAAUAUAUGGAUCUUGAGUUUAUAAGAAGAGAGAAAGUGCGAAGAAAAGUUUCACUUGCAGAUCAAAUCCGGGCUUCCAAAAGCAAAAGAGUGGAAUGUGUAGCAGUCACAAACUCUUUGGUUCAGACCCUAUUGAAUUUUUGUACAAACCAAGAAAUUAUCAAAUUGAAAAUACGAUGUAUUUGUGAUUCAAAUUGUUUGAAUGGAGAAUGUCUUUUUAAAAUUUAUUGUAAUU
Molecule: non-coding RNA, 967 nt
Organism: Nelumbo nucifera (sacred lotus)
Lineage: Eukaryota; Viridiplantae; Streptophyta; Magnoliopsida; Proteales; Nelumbonaceae
Source: RefSeq, a predicted model, not a curated record